This 2041-nucleotide long non-coding RNA is filed under the name Apis mellifera (honey bee). RNAcentral's name for it is "uncharacterized LOC102655354". Lineage: Eukaryota; Metazoa; Arthropoda; Insecta; Hymenoptera; Apidae. The record is from RNAcentral.
UAAAACGUUUAACUCGUUAUAGCUAGUUUUCAAUGUUUUGUGUUUGUUUUUCGUGAAUGUGGAUCCACGUUACAAACUUGGCCAUGGAGCAAUCUCUGUCUUGUUUGAUUUUCAUACGAUCACGUUGUUUUUGUUAAUUUGAAGAUUUGAACGGUUUAUUGGAAAAUUAGUUGAAAAAUUAUAGCUAGUAAGCUUUUGUUAGAACUAUUGUUUAGAACUAUAUAGAAGAUACAGAGAUUACUUCGAUGGUUCUGAGCACACAUGGAACUGAGCUUCGCCUGUGAACUCUCUCUAUAAUUUUAAUUGGAAUUUGAUUAAUUUAUUUAACGAUAUAAUUUUGGUAAGAUGAAUGUAAUGAAUAAAGAUAUGAGAGAUUUCAUAGGAAUGCUUAAUAGGAUCCAAGCGCACCACGAUGCAUAUUAUAUCGAAGAAAAGAACAUCAAUGUAUAACUUUGAAACGAAAGUUAAAGAAAGCAGCAGUGUUUGGUGCAAAAUAUCAUACGUUCGGACAACCAAAAAAGAACGAUCAGUAAUGCAACAGGAUAAAAGGGCACUUUUCAUCAAAGAAGCCAGGCGUCUGCUUCUGCGAUUGGCCACAGUCAACUUUGUGUGUGUAUAAAUGAGUGUAGUGGUUUCGAAAGAAACAUUCAGAAUAAUAUUGUUAAAAAUAAUUAAAAAAAAAAAAAAAAAAAGAAAAUUCUCAUCGAAUAUAAAAGUCGAUUAAUCUGUACGAUUAGAAGUUUUGAUAAAUUUUCUAUCGAAUAGAACACGAUUCAAAAUUAUUUUGAACAUUUCUCACGCACGUUGCAACACACUACCGCAGAGACACACAAAAAUCGUUCGGGUUGCAUUUAGUGAACCGUGCACACGUGAAACAAAACGAACGCGUGAAUCGAAGGCGUGUAUGAAGACUGUCGGUGUUCGAUAUAUCGAGAAACUUGGUGAAGUAUCGAUAUGUGGUUGAUUGAAAUAAUGUUAUUGGACGGUGAUGUAAGUAUAAAACACGCAGGGUGAGAAGAAUGCUGGUUCAUCGAACAGUGAUUCAGAGAUCAUCUCUGAAGAAUUUCUGCCAUCGCAAAAAAGAUCAACGAAGCUAUUUCGCAAAGAGGCCAUUGAAAGUGAUCGAUGACCCCUCCGUCACGGACCUCGUCUUUCCUUUUGUCUUCCUAAGGAAGACUUCGAAUGGAAAAAAAAAAAAAAUCGCGGAUGAAGAAGUGGAGGAGAGGAUGGACGAAGAGAGAAGAAAGAGAACCGGCGUGAUUUGAUCAUGAGACAAGAGGGAAAGAGGAGUCGAGAGUGAAACGAGAAAGAGAAAGAGUGGUUAGUCGCCACGGUGAGAUGGGGUGAAGUCACACAGUCAGGCAAAAAGAAUCAAUCGGUGGGUGUUAACGAGGCCGCGUUAAUGAGGAUCAAGUACCUGGAAAUGAUGCUCUUCAUCUUGGUAUCCGGUGCAACGCCAUCUAUAUCGGUAUCCUCGGUUGCGCCUAACCGGGCCCUCAGUCGAUCUACGCUACUCUGCAACCUCUCGAUUUCCACUUCGUACUGGAAACGAAGAGACGUGGCGUUGUUAGUUACAAGACACACACUUGGCAGGCAGUUCCGUUAGGCGACAGGUCAGAGAAACAGAGAGAUAGUAGAGAGACAAAAAGAGGAUGACGAUGAUGACGACGACGACGACGACAGUGGCGACAGCGGCGGUAGCGGCAACAACAACGGCAGCAGCAGCUUCUCGCGCGAUAAAAUAGGAGUUUUUGUAAAAAGAGGAACUUGUUAUUCACACAACGGUCACGUAUAUAUAUGUACAUAUGUUUGUUACAACGAAAUCAAAAGAGAAUUAUAAGUUCCUCUUUGAUCUGCUAAGACAAUUUUAAUUAUGUUUCUUAUGUCCUCUGCUUCGUUGCUGGAAACUCGAAGAGAUUUAUUUUUUUUUCCCCCCCUCGUGGUUUCGUGGAUGACAGAGAUAAGUUGAAUUGAAUUGGCAAAUUUAUAUCAAUGCUCGUUGCUAUUGUUAUAAUAUAAAUAUAACGUAUGUUAUAUGAUA